RNAcentral lists this transfer RNA (91 nucleotides) under Felis catus (domestic cat). It matches the Rfam family "tRNA". Rfam says of the family: Transfer RNA (tRNA) molecules are approximately 80 nucleotides in length. Their secondary structure includes four short double-helical elements and three loops (D, anti-codon, and T loops). Further hydrogen bonds mediate the characteristic L-shaped molecular structure. tRNAs have two regions of fundamental functional importance: the anti-codon, which is responsible for specific mRNA codon recognition, and the 3' end, to which the tRNAs corresponding amino acid is attached (by aminoacyl-tRNA synthetases). tRNAs cope with the degeneracy of the genetic code in two manners: having more than one tRNA (with a specific anti-codon) for a particular amino acid; and 'wobble' base-pairing, i.e. permitting non-standard base-pairing at the 3rd anti-codon position. The record is from Rfam by way of RNAcentral. RNAcentral also lists the same sequence under 1 other name. Lineage: Eukaryota; Metazoa; Chordata; Mammalia; Carnivora; Felidae.
GCCUGGGUGGCUCAGUCGGUUGAGCAUCUGAUUCUUGGUUUCAGCUCAGAUCAUGAUCCCAGGGUUGUGGGAUCAAGCCCCACAUCCGGCU